This 253-nucleotide ribosomal RNA is filed under the name uncultured bacterium. Its description in RNAcentral is "partial 16S ribosomal RNA". It matches the Rfam family "Bacterial small subunit ribosomal RNA", at positions 524 to 776 of the family's 1533-position model. The record is from RNAcentral.
UACAGAGGGGGCAAGCGUUGUUCGGAAUUACUGGGCGUAAAGGGCGAGUAGGCGGCCUUCUAAGUCGAACGUGAAAUCCCCGGGCUCAACCCGGGAACUGCGUCCGAUACUGGAAGGCUUGAAUCCGGGAGAGGGAUGUGGAAUUCCAGGUGUAGCGGUGAAAUGCGUAGAUAUCUGGAGGAACACCGGUGGCGAAGGCGACAUCCUGGACCGGUAUUGACGCUGAGGCGCGAAAGCCAGGGGAGCAAACGGG